This 1029-nucleotide ribosomal RNA is filed under the name Nectria pseudotrichia. RNAcentral's name for it is "SSU rRNA". It matches the Rfam family "Eukaryotic small subunit ribosomal RNA", at positions 67 to 1107 of the family's 1831-position model. Lineage: Eukaryota; Fungi; Ascomycota; Sordariomycetes; Hypocreales; Nectriaceae. The record is from RNAcentral.
UAGCAAUUAUACAGCGAAACUGCGAAUGGCUCAUUAUAUAAGUUAUCGUUUAUUUGAUAGUACCUUACUACUUGGAUAACCGUGGUAAUUCUAGAGCUAAUACAUGCUAAAAAUCCCGACUUCGGAAGGGAUGUAUUUAUUAGAUUAAAAACCAAUGCCCUUCGGGGCUCCUUGGUGAUUCAUGAUAACUUCUCGAAUCGCAUGGCCUUGCGCCGGCGAUGGUUCAUUCAAAUUUCUUCCCUAUCAACUUUCGAUGUUUGGGUAUUGGCCAAACAUGGUUGCAACGGGUAACGGAGGGUUAGGGCUCGACCCCGGAGAAGGAGCCUGAGAAACGGCUACUACAUCCAAGGAAGGCAGCAGGCGCGCAAAUUACCCAAUCCCGACUCGGGGAGGUAGUGACAAUAAAUACUGAUACAGGGCUCUUUUGGGUCUUGUAAUUGGAAUGAGUACAAUUUAAAUCCCUUAACGAGGAACAAUUGGAGGGCAAGUCUGGUGCCAGCAGCCGCGGUAAUUCCAGCUCCAAUAGCGUAUAUUAAAGUUGUUGUGGUUAAAAAGCUCGUAGUUGAACCUUGGGCCUGGCUGGCCGGUCCGCCUCACCGCGUGUACUGGUCCGGCCGGGCCUUUCCCUCUGUGGAACCCCAUGCCCUUCACUGGGUGUGGCGGGGAAACAGGACUUUUACUUUGAAAAAAUUAGAGUGCUCCAGGCAGGCCUAUGCUCGAAUACAUUAGCAUGGAAUAAUAGAAUAGGACGUGUGGUUCUAUUUUGUUGGUUUCUAGGACCGCCGUAAUGAUUAAUAGGGACAGUCGGGGGCAUCAGUAUUCCGUUGUCAGAGGUGAAAUUCUUGGAUUUACGGAAGACUAACUACUGCGAAAGCAUUUGCCAAGGAUGUUUUCAUUAAUCAGGAACGAAAGUUAGGGGAUCGAAGACGAUCAGAUACCGUCGUAGUCUUAACCAUAAACUAUGCCGACUAGGGAUCGGACGAUGUUAUAUUUUGACUCGUUCGGCACCUUACGAGAAAUCAAAGUGCU